AGAACGAACGCUGGCGGCAGGCUUAACACAUGCAAGUCGAACGGUUGUAGCAAUACAGCAGUGGCAGACGGGUGAGUAACACGUGGGAACCUUCCUAGGGGUACGGAACAACUCAGGGAAACUUGAGCUAAUACCGUAUACGUCCGUGAGGAGAAAGUUUUAACGCCCCUAGACGGGCCCGCGUAGGAUUAGGUAGUUGGUGAGGUAACGGCUCACCAAGCCUACGAUCCUUAGCUGAUCUGAGAGGAUGAUCAGCCACACUGGGACUGAGACACGGCCCAGACUCCUACGGGAGGCAGCAGUGGGAAUCUUGGACAAUGGGCGCAAGCCUGAUCCAGCCAUGCGCGUGAGUGAAGAAGGCCUUGGUGUAAAGCUCUUUUACCAGGGACGAUAAUGACGGUACCUGGAGAAUAAGACCCGGCAAACUUCGUGCCAGCAGCCGC
RNAcentral lists this ribosomal RNA (443 nucleotides) under uncultured soil bacterium. Its description in RNAcentral is "bacterial SSU rRNA". It matches the Rfam family "Bacterial small subunit ribosomal RNA", at positions 26 to 518 of the family's 1533-position model. The record is from RNAcentral.